CUUCCGGAUCGUGGGGUGAUCGGCGACAUCGCUCAUUUUUGAGAGAGCGCCAAUGCGCACGCUCGCCGGACCAGCUUCGAUGGUAUCGAGUCCGCGCACGCGCGUAAUGUCGAUGAGCGCUGAAGGAACCUCUACCCCGCAUUUCAUGAGGUCGACCAUGGUCGUGCCGCCAGCGAGGAAGCGGGAACCAGCCUGACGGGCAAUGGCCCCCAGCGCGUCGGGAAUGGCGGUGGCCCGAACAUAUUCGAAAUUGUUCAUCGUG
This 262-nucleotide unclassified non-coding RNA is filed under the name Hevea brasiliensis (rubber tree). The record is from RNAcentral. Lineage: Eukaryota; Viridiplantae; Streptophyta; Magnoliopsida; Malpighiales; Euphorbiaceae.